RNAcentral lists this long non-coding RNA (333 nucleotides) under Mytilus galloprovincialis (Mediterranean mussel). Lineage: Eukaryota; Metazoa; Mollusca; Bivalvia; Mytilida; Mytilidae. The record is from RNAcentral.
GGCCUAUCUAAUUAAUUCCUGAAGAGGUAACUUCCUCCUUCCAUUAUUGUCACUUUGUGCACCUAUCGUAACCCGCACUUUUCUAACAAGUCCAUCCUUAUCUACAUGUGCUGUGUUUAUCUUCCCAAGAUGCCACUGAUUUCGUGCGGCUUGUUCAUCUUUGAUCAUUACUAUAUCGCCGACUUGCAAAUUUCGUCUCGGAGCAGUCCACUUCUUUCUAGAUUAUAGAUUAAACAAAUACUCCUUUCUCCAUCUAUUCCAAAACUCGUUUGCUAAGAACUGAACUCGCCUCCAGCGUUUUCGAGAGUAAAUAUCACUUCUUUGAAAUUGUCC